RNAcentral lists this ribosomal RNA (484 nucleotides) under uncultured bacterium. Its description in RNAcentral is "partial 16S ribosomal RNA". It matches the Rfam family "Bacterial small subunit ribosomal RNA", at positions 30 to 507 of the family's 1533-position model. The record is from RNAcentral.
AUUGAACGCUGGCGGCAGGCCUAACACAUGCAAGUCGAGCGGAUGAAGGGAGCUUGCUCCUGGAUUCAGCGGCGGACGGGUGAGUAAUGCCUAGGAAUCUGCCUGGUAGUGGGGGAUAACGUCCGGAAACGGGCGCUAAUACCGCAUCCGUCCUGAGGGAGAAAGUGGGGGAUCUUCGGACCUCACGCUAUCAGAUGAGCCUAGGUCGGAUUAGCUAGUUGGUGGGGUAAAGGCCUACCAAGGCGACGAUCCGUAACUGGUCUGAGAGGGUGAUCAGUCACACUGGAACUGAGACACGGUCCAGACUCCUACGGGAGGCAGCAGUGGGGAAUAUUGGACAAUGGGCGAAAGCCUGAUCCAGCCAUGCCGCGUGUGUGAAGAAGGUCUUCGGAUUGUAAAGCACUUUUAGUUGGGAGGAAGAGCAGUAAGUUAAUACCUUGCUGUUUUGACGUUACCAACAGAAUAAGCACCGGCUAACUUCGUG